This is a non-coding RNA of Leptonychotes weddellii (Weddell seal), 1924 nucleotides long. The record is from RefSeq and is a predicted model, not a curated record. Lineage: Eukaryota; Metazoa; Chordata; Mammalia; Carnivora; Phocidae.
AUUGUCAGGGGCGUGGCUGGGGUCCCAGGGCUCCGCCGCCAUGUACUUGUCCCGUGUCCAUGUCAUCUGGAUUUUGUCAGCCCCAGCGGCAGACUCGUCUUCCUCGUCGGAGUACAGGCUCUCCAGCCGCAGGGCUGAGUGUCGGUCCUUGACCAGCUGGGCCUGAGGAAAAUCAGAGGUGGCCUCAGUGCCACGGGAAAAGGGGGACCUGGAUGGCCCAACACGAUCACUUGGCCUCCGGGAAAUGGGUACUGACUUGGGUGAGGCUGGGUGGGGUGCGCCAUUCUGAUUCCCCAAAGUGAUGGUGUCUCCAAAGCCUGACCUGCCACCCGCCCCUGCCUGAAAUGAGAAAGCCACUGACUUCUCGCUCCCGCUCCGUCUUCGUCAGCCUCAUCUGCCGCAGCAUCUGGGAGCGCUGUUCCAUCAUCAGUGUCCGCUCAUAGGUGUAUGCGGAGAUAUCGCUGUUAUGCUGGGGAGAGAGUGGAGCAUGAAGAAUGGGCUGCAUGCAGCCGGCUAUCCACAGGGCCACGGGGGCAGGUGACUCACCAUCUCUACCACCUCCACCUCAGCCUCAAGGCGCAGGUGGUACAGGAAGACGGCCAGAUCCUUCUUCAUCUGGAUGCUGUUGUCGUCCAUCUGGGCCACGGUGAAGAUGCGCAUCCGGCACUUCCUCCACACCUGGGGCACAGGAGCAGGAUCCUCUCUUAAGGGAGCUGUCAAGGGCCUGAACAGAGAGAGAUCUGUGUGCAAAGCUGUUCAUGACAACGUUUACAACAGUGAAGAACCAGAACCCCAGGGUGGAAUAAUCACAUAAAUUAGGCCUGGAGUGGCGCUUACCCACCUGGAACCACACCAUUGGUGGCGAUGGCGCUCAUGGAGAUGGCUGUCAGCAGAGUCUGUGGGAAGGAGGCCUAGCAGGCCAUGCAGGUACCCAAAAGAUGUUCCUGAGCCCAGUGAGUGGUGCCUUGGAAGGCCUCUGGGAUAACCUGCUGGGAAAAUCCUGCAUAGACAAUAGAAACUCAAGCUGAAGGACAGCUAAAAAUGCUGAAUGAUGCAUCCUCCAUCUGAUACAUUCUCUUGCCAUCGGUGUAAGAGUUAACUUGCCUUCCCUGAGCCAACAACACUCAGUAGGUGCCGCACUGUGGAUUCCUCAUUGCCCAGAGACUGACAGAGAACUUUAGAACAUUAGUGAAGAAUUAGUAGUAUCUCUCUGACUGCUGCCUCCUCCUGGCCUCAGCUCUGGGAUGGAAUGAGGAAUCAGAGUCUCUGGGUCCUGCAGGAGGACCUCCAAGGUGACCACCACUCUGGCUCUUACCCCACAGUCAUCCGGCCAGAGCCUGUCGACUUGACCUCUCGUCCUUCACACCGCCUUCAGCUGUGCACAGUAGCAGCCUUCCAGAUGGACUCCCUGUUCUCUCCCACUGCUCAUGGUAGAGCCACCUCUUCUGAAGAGAAAGCCCAUGCUCUUCUCUUGGCCCACAAGGCCCUGCUCCAUCUGGACCCUCCAACCUCCCCAGCCUCAGUCUUCUGGCCUCUUUCACUUCCCCAAACUCAGAGCCUUACUGCAUAUUACCUGCUGUUCGCUCUGACAGAAUGCCUUUCUACCCUCUGCCCUCACUCUGACUAACCAAACUCCUUGGUAUUAGGGGAGGUCUCACCCUGGAGUACCACUUCCUCUCCAGAAGACUUCUCAGACUCACAUCCGUCCACCCCACCUCACCCUCCUCUGGAUUGGGUUCUUCUUAGGCACUUUCCCUUCACAGUACCCUCUGCAGGGAGACAUGUGUUGGUGGGAAUCUUUGAUUAACGUUUUUCAUGCCCACUAGACUGUGGACUUCACAAGGACAGUACCCUUUUGGUCUUGCCACCUUGGUAUUCUCAGUCCCUCCCCCCAACACAUCUUUUGAAUAAAGAAUGAACAGGA